GUGGGAAAUGGUAGCGCAUAGCUUGUUGUAUGCAUAUUGUUCCACUGAACAAUAGCAUAUGAUAAGGGAUUUAAAAUUUGAUGCUGCGUCUGCUACAUUAACACGUCAAUGUGCUUGGUUGCGAGAUCGUCUUAUGUAUUGCGUGUUUUAUGCUACAUGAACAUAUAUCUGUGUGAUUGGUCGUGUGAUUGUUUUAUUUUUG
Molecule: long non-coding RNA, 202 nt
Filed under: Mytilus galloprovincialis (Mediterranean mussel)
Lineage: Eukaryota; Metazoa; Mollusca; Bivalvia; Mytilida; Mytilidae
Source: RNAcentral